UGGGGAAUAUUGCACAAUGGGCGCAAGCCUGAUGCAGCCAUGCCGCGUGUAUGAAGAAGGCCUUCGGGUUGUAAAGUACUUUCAGCGGGGAGGAAGGUGUUGAGGUUAAUAACCUCAGCAAUUGACGUUACCCGCAGAAGAAGCACCGGCUAACUCCGUGCCAGCAGCCGCGGUAAUACGGAGGGUGCAAGCGUUAAUCGGAAUUACUGGGCGUAAAGCGCACGCAGGCGGUCUUUCAAGUCGGAUGUGAAAUCCCCGGGCUCAACCUGGGAACUGCAUUCGAAACUGGCAGGCUAGAGUCUUGUAGAGGGGGGUAGAAUUCCAGGUGUAGCGGUGAAAUGCGUAGAGAUCUGGAGGAAUACCGGUGGCGAAGGCGGCCCCCUGGACAAAGACUGACGCUCAGGUGCGAAAGCGUGGGGAGCAAACA
This 427-nucleotide ribosomal RNA is filed under the name uncultured bacterium. Its description in RNAcentral is "partial 16S ribosomal RNA". It matches the Rfam family "Bacterial small subunit ribosomal RNA", at positions 355 to 774 of the family's 1533-position model. The record is from RNAcentral.